AGUGAAUCUAUUUUUAUUAGUGCGUGAAUAUUUUGUUUCAAUAUCUUUUAAUAAUUUACUUUUUUCGUAAGAUAUGUUCAUUAAAUUUUUUUUUUAUCCUGUAGUAAUUGCAGAGUUACAAAUUUCUGUAUAAUAAUUUAUCCUAUCUGUGCUAUAAUGUAUAUCUAAUUCUAGAUUUUCAAUGUUAUUUAUUAUCUUGUGUUGUUCUUCUCGUAAUGAGUUUUUUAAAUUAUAUACACUAUCACAUGUAUUUUUAUCUAAAUUUUCUAAGGUUUUUUCUAUCCAUAUUAAUUUUUCUUUUAGGUCUUCCAUUAUUUUCCUAAUUCGGUUUCUAUAAUUAAUUUCAUUAUUUAGAUUUUCUUGAUUUUCUCUAGUUUGUCUAAUAUAUUCUAACAUUUUUUAAUCUGAAUAAUAUCCUUCUGGGUAACUUUCUUCGUAUAACUGUUCUAGACAAUUUGCAGUUUCAAUUUCAUAGUUUAUUACUUCUUCUAAUAUUAUUUUCUUGAUAUCUAUUAUUUUUAUAUCUUUAAGUAUAUAUAAGAUUAAAACUUUAAGAUAAUCUAGAUAAUCUAUCUUUUAAAAUUGGUUUUAUUAUAGUGUUUUGUAGUUGUUUGUUUUAGCCUUAGUAGUUUUUGCAUAUUUUUAUUAAGAAAUUUUAUAUCUUUAUUUUCCA
This 673-nucleotide long non-coding RNA is filed under the name Capsicum annuum. RNAcentral describes it as "long non-coding RNA (CANN_LNC002569)". Lineage: Eukaryota; Viridiplantae; Streptophyta; Magnoliopsida; Solanales; Solanaceae. The record is from RNAcentral.